Molecule: long non-coding RNA, 1360 nt
Organism: Chelmon rostratus (copperband butterflyfish)
Lineage: Eukaryota; Metazoa; Chordata; Actinopteri; Chaetodontiformes; Chaetodontidae
Exons: 2
Source: RefSeq, a predicted model, not a curated record
CAAAACGUACGAAAACAAACGGCGAGAAGAGAAGAGAAGAGAAAGAAGAUGAAAAGAAGAGAAGAGAAAGAAGAUGAAAAGAAAAGAAGGAGGAAAAGCAGAAAGCUGCUCUCAAAGUGAGGAUAUUCUUCACUGCGGCAGCGCCGAACAGCAGCUAACAGCAGCUAACAGCAGCUAACAGCGGCUAACAGCAGCAACCCACAACCGGCGAGUGAAACGGCGACGUUGACACCUGUUGGGGAGGGUCCGUUGUCGACGUGUGGAGAUGAACAACUAAAUGAGACAGGGACGGGCUGUGACAGUGAGAGAGCUGGAGUCAUCCAGCCAGGCUUUGAGGAUCAUCUUGUUCCAUCAGAUCCUCGUCCACUCUGCUAGCGAGCGGUCAGCACAGUGUGCUUCUUGAAGAUGACCCGGCACUCUGGCCAACAGUUGUACAGUCAUGAAUUAGAACUUUUAUAGUGAAAUCAGUUCUAUGUUUGUGAUCUAUCUUAAAUAUUCUAUCAGAGAAGCUACUGGUAGAAAACUAGUCCAGCAGGGACGAGCUCCAACUGUGGCAGGUGGCAGCAAGCAGUGGCACUUCCUGUGGCAGCAUAGUUCUGCCGCGGCAUGUGCCGCAGUCCUGGCAGCUGCCGCGGGCGUGCUGCCGCGGGCGUGCUGCGGCAAAUGCUGGUCCUGAGUGUUUUUCAGCGAUACAUUUAGUGAUACGAUUGAGCUGCGGGAUGAAUUAAUGAGUCAUGCUGCCAUGAAUGAGUGUGUAUAUAAAAGCAUUAAUUAAGCAAUCAAUUAUUUUUUUAUUAAAUGUGACAAUAUGUAAUUAAGUUUAAUUCAGGAAGCUUGUUGUUUACGUGCUCUGUACUGUUUUUUAAAAAUAUGACCAAUAUAAUAUACAUGAAAGUGCAUGAUGUGUUUCCGCCUAUGGCCUGAGAGAGAAAAAUGAAAUCACCAUGAAUCUCAACUGAAUCUGCCACAGACCUGCCGGGGCAGGUGGGGGCCCUGAGUGUUUUUCCCCUGUUCAGUGAUGAGAUGAGGCUGCAGGAUCUAUCCAUCUAUCUGUUGGAGCUCUUUAUUGAUUUAUUGGUAUUUAGUGUUGUUUAGUUUAGAUUUGAUUAUUCUGAAUCAAUUUAUUUGAUUUCAUUAUAUUAGAUUUCUGUUAUUCUCUUUAUUUGUUUAGUAUAGGUGUUUCCUUGUUUGUCAUUUGUGGUUUUGUUUCAUUUGGGCACGUUAGGGGGGCACCCGAUGAUAUAAGUAGGGCUACAGUAAGGGACCAGCAUGCACCUGGGUGGGCAGCACUGUGGAAUGUCUUAGUUCUUCGCUUGCUCGCUGUUUGGUCAAAUAAAACACGUUUUUUGUUGAAACUGAA